AUUUUAUUUUACUUUUAAAAAUUUUACAAAAAAUGGAAAUUUUUUCUUGUUGCUUGAAUAUUAACUAUUCAAUUAAAAUGAAAUAUUACAACUAUAACAGGCUUUUUAGUGUUCAAAUUCAAAUUCGUUGGAACAAAAGAGGCCCGGAUGGGUACUGACCAGACCAAGCCAUGAGAAUAAGAGGGUCCUUUCGAACAAAAUCAAGACAAAGAAAAGAGGUCUUCUUUAUUUUUCUUGAUAUUCUUGGCUCUUCUGAGCCCUUCCUAAAAAAUGGGAAUUUUUUCUUGUUGCUUGAAUAUUAACUAUUCAAUUAAAAUGAAAUAUUACAACUAUAACAGGCUUUUUAGUUUUCGAAUUAAAAUUCGUUGGAACAAAAGAGGCCCGGCUGGGUACUGACCAGACCAGGCCAUGAGAAUAAGAGGGUCCUUUCGAACAAAAUCAAGAUGAA
Molecule: long non-coding RNA, 448 nt
Filed under: Nicotiana benthamiana
Lineage: Eukaryota; Viridiplantae; Streptophyta; Magnoliopsida; Solanales; Solanaceae
Description: long non-coding RNA (NBEN_LNC034013)
Source: RNAcentral